GAGGUUUGUAUGCAGAACUUUUUGUGCAUCUAAGUCGUUUUCACUAUUGGGACUUUUGAAUUGACGAUCGAUUUCUGUUAAACUUGAUUUAGAGUAUUUUGAAAUAUCUAGAAAAUAAAAUUUGUGAUUUUUCGAUAUCAUUUGCCUAUUAAUCGAAGGGGCUUAAAAUCAAUAAUUUUAAUGGCCGUGGUGAGCCGUUUGCAAGUUUAACGGUGUAAAAAUAUUCAAAUCAUGUGAAAUUUUGAUAGAAAAUUUUUUAUACUAUAUAAAAUGAGAUCAAUAUUUUUGAUCUAAAAUUUUAAUGUCAUAUCAUUCUAUUUUGUAAGAUUUUUAUUUUCAACUGUUGAUUUUGAGCCACUUCGAUCACUAGGCAAAUGAUAUAAAAAAUCACAAAAUUUAUUUUUUAGAUACUUAAAAUACUCUAGAUCAAGUCUAACGAAGCUGAUUGUCGAUUCUGAUUGUCGAUUCGAAAGUCUCAAUAUUGAAAACGACUUGGAAGCACGGAGCGUUCUGUGUUUCAAGAAGAAUACCAGACUCGCUAUAUAUAUAUAUAUAUAUAUAUA
This 563-nucleotide long non-coding RNA is filed under the name Ananas comosus (pineapple). RNAcentral describes it as "long non-coding RNA (ACOM_LNC030895)". The record is from RNAcentral. Lineage: Eukaryota; Viridiplantae; Streptophyta; Magnoliopsida; Poales; Bromeliaceae.